GGGGGGGGGGGGAGGAGGGCAACGCGCGAGCCGCCAACCUGGCGGCCAGGCUGACGGCGGCCGAAGGGACCCGGAGGAAAGAUCUGGAGAGACUGAAAACCAGUGAGGAGAGGGGAAAGGAACUGGAGCGCCGUCUCUCGGGGUUGGAGCGGGAGCUGCGCAGGGCCUGGGGACGUCCCCGCACUGUCCCCGUGUCCCCAGGGGGUGACAGCGAGCCCGGCGACGACGGCCAGGCCACCAGCGUGUGACGGGGAUGUCACCAAAUGUCACCAACUGCCACCAGUGUCACCAUCUGCCACCAGCGUGUGACAGGGAUGUCACCAAAUGUCACCAACUACCACCAGUGUCACCAACUGCCACCAGCGUGUGACAGGGAUGUCACCAAAUGUCACCAACUACCACCAGUGUCACCAACUGCCACCAGCGUGUGACAGGGAUGUCACCAGUGUCACCAACUGCCACCAGUGUCACCAUCUGUCACCAGCGUGUGACGGGGAUGUCACCAGUGUCACCAACUGCCACCAGUGUCACCAUCUGUCACCAGCGUGUGACGGGGAUGUCACCAGUGUCACCAACUGCCACCAGUGUCACCAUCUGUCACCAGCGUGUGACGGGGAUGUCACCAGUGUCACCAACUGCCACCAGUGUCACCAUCUGUCACCAGCGUGUGACGGGGAUGUCACCAGUGUCACCAACUGCCACCAGUGUCACCAUCUGUCACCAGCGUGUGACGGGGAUGUCACCAGUGUCACCAACUGCCACCAGU
Molecule: long non-coding RNA, 766 nt
Organism: Ficedula albicollis (Collared flycatcher)
Lineage: Eukaryota; Metazoa; Chordata; Aves; Passeriformes; Muscicapidae
Exons: 3
Source: RefSeq, a predicted model, not a curated record